ACUCCUACGGGAGGCAGCAGUGGGGAAUAUUGCACAAUGGGCGCAAGCCUGAUGCAGCCAUACCGCGUGAGUGAAGAAGGUUUCGGCUCGUAAAGCUCUGUUGUUAAAGAAGAACACGUAUGAGAGUAACUGUUCAUACGUUGACGGUAUUUAACCAGAAAGUCACGGCUAACUACGUGCCAGCAGCCGCGGUAAUACGUAGGUGGCAAGCGUUAUCCGGAUUUAUUGGGCGUAAAGAGAGUGCAGGCGGUUUUCUAAGUCUGAUGUGAAAGCCUUCGGCUUAACCGGAGAAGUGCAUCGGAAACUGGAUAACUUGAGUGCAGAAGAGGGUAGUGGAACUCCAUGUGUAGCGGUGGAAUGCGUAGAUAUAUGGAAGAACACCAGUGGCGAAGGCGGCUACCUGGUCUGCAACUGACGCUGAGACUCGAAAGCAUGGGUAGCGAACAGGAUUAGAUACCCUGGUAGGAUAGCG
Molecule: ribosomal RNA, 472 nt
Filed under: uncultured bacterium
Lineage: Bacteria
Description: bacterial SSU rRNA
Rfam family: Bacterial small subunit ribosomal RNA
Source: RNAcentral